GCCAUGGUGGCAAAAUGGUUAAGCAUUCAGCUGCUAAUUGAAAGAUCGGAGGUUCAAACCCACUAGUGGCU
RNAcentral lists this transfer RNA (71 nucleotides) under Loxodonta africana (African savanna elephant). It matches the Rfam family "tRNA". From Rfam's summary of the family: Transfer RNA (tRNA) molecules are approximately 80 nucleotides in length. Their secondary structure includes four short double-helical elements and three loops (D, anti-codon, and T loops). Further hydrogen bonds mediate the characteristic L-shaped molecular structure. tRNAs have two regions of fundamental functional importance: the anti-codon, which is responsible for specific mRNA codon recognition, and the 3' end, to which the tRNAs corresponding amino acid is attached (by aminoacyl-tRNA synthetases). tRNAs cope with the degeneracy of the genetic code in two manners: having more than one tRNA (with a specific anti-codon) for a particular amino acid; and 'wobble' base-pairing, i.e. permitting non-standard base-pairing at the 3rd anti-codon position. The record is from Rfam by way of RNAcentral. Lineage: Eukaryota; Metazoa; Chordata; Mammalia; Proboscidea; Elephantidae.